Long non-coding RNA from Ornithorhynchus anatinus (platypus), 1143 nucleotides. RefSeq lists it as uncharacterized. NCBI's taxonomy places the organism in Eukaryota, Metazoa, Chordata, Mammalia, Monotremata, Ornithorhynchidae. The transcript is spliced from 3 exons. The record is from RefSeq and is a predicted model, not a curated record.
AGAAGGGCUUGUAAACGGCCGCGCCUCGUUUCUAUCCUGCAGCGUCUCCUCGGCCUUUUUUUUUUUAAAAAAAAAAUAUAUGAUAGAGAGAGCUUUCUCUCUGGGCUGCCACUGCUGGAUGAGGGGAAAAAGUUAGAUGGCAAUUUAAUUUUCCCUGGGUCACGUAGACAGGAGACCGAACCCUUGUGAGGUUUGAAUCGAUGCAGCACAUUCCGGAUCCUGAUAGGUAGAUCUGGACUUCACAGCUCCUUAUGCGCAGUUCAGAUGUCUCCUCAGUACGGAACGAUCUGCCUCCGAUGCAGCUCUGAGGGUGUGAGUGUGUGUGUGUGUGUGUGUAUUUGCGUAUCUGCAUGUGUGAGUGCGUGAGUGUGAGUCAAUCAUGUACGUUUCGAGAGUGCCACAGAAAACGAGGGGCAACUUUCUCAAAUCUCGGGGACCUGAGGCUGUCUACAGUUCCAUUUGCAUUCGCAUUUGGUGCUGAAGCAAAAGGAAGGGAUCGACGCUCUCCAAAGCCUUCUUCGAAACUUCUGCGUUGGGGAUUCGGUGUCUCCCUGGAAAAAGGAUUAGACCACAAAGGAAACUGAAAUAUUGGGAAAAAAAAAAGGUGCCCCAGGGCAGAGAUCCACCCAAGAGAAAAGUCAAAAGCAGUCUUUGAACUGAAACAGCAAAAGAUGAAUGGGUCUGUUUGGUUGGGUCAUGUCUGGGAAAAAUGGUUUCCUGGCAUCUAUAGAAGAUCUUAUCUGAUGAGAUGAAGAAGAGGUUCUCCUCAAAGCAUCAGACAAAAGAAAAAUCAUGACUUGGAGGAUCAACUGUCAGUGGUCUCAUUAGCAGAAAAGGUGAUGUAACUUUACAGCUAAAAUUGGAACAGUUUAGAUCUCAGAAACCAAAUUGUAAGGCAAUUUUCACCUAUAUUUUUGGAGCCUUUUUAGUUGGGAUUUUUUCUUCUUUCAAUUGCAAAUAUAGAUCAGUCUGCUAAACUAAAGACACAAAACUCUAAAGUUGUGAUUUUUCAUUACCCUACCAAUCUCAUGUCCUCAGUACACUUUGUGAUUUUGAUCAAUUUUCACAAUCUCAAAUGCUGGUCAAAGUUCAUUCGUUCAUUCAUUCAUUCAAUCAUAUUUAUUGAGUGCUUACUGUGUGCAG